This 71-nucleotide transfer RNA is filed under the name Bos taurus (domestic cattle). It matches the Rfam family "tRNA". Rfam says of the family: Transfer RNA (tRNA) molecules are approximately 80 nucleotides in length. Their secondary structure includes four short double-helical elements and three loops (D, anti-codon, and T loops). The record is from Rfam by way of RNAcentral. Lineage: Eukaryota; Metazoa; Chordata; Mammalia; Artiodactyla; Bovidae. RNAcentral also lists the same sequence under 3 other names.
UCUUUGGUGGCUCAGUGGUAAAGAGUCUGCCUGCAAUGCAGGAGACUCAGGUUUGAUUCCUGGGUUGGGAA